AAUUUGAACUAAUGUUAUAUCUGGAGGUCACGGUGCAGGUGGCAUUAUUAACCCACUUUCCAGAUGAGGAAAUGGCCACUCUCCAGGGCUGCCAUCAACCCCAGUGCUCCUAGAUCACUGCAUCUGCCUGCAGGUCCUGCAGUGGGAGCUUGCAGGGGCGGGAGAGAGAAGACGUGGGAAUGACCCGAGAGGCAGGAGACUGAGUUCCUGCCUUCAAUGGGCUCACUGCUUGGGGGAGCAAAGGAUGCUAUAUGACGUGAGGAAGCCCCCUGGAACAGUGCUCUUCCCCCGCCCCCACCCCAGGCCAGUUUCUGAAGUCAGUAGGUCUGGGCUGGGGAGGCGGGGUGGAGAAUUUGCAUUUCUAGAUGUUCUUCUUGCUGAUGCCUAUUUUGCUGGUGUGGAGGCCACUGGGGGAGGAGCAAUGACAUAGGGGGCUUCCUUGCUGGCGUCACUCCCACACGCAGGCUUGUUCCCUUCCAGAUGCUGAACACCUCAGGGUGCCAUGAAACGGUCUCUUGGUUAUGUUCUCACGUUGUUUGGAAAUCAUGCUCUCACUUCACAGAGCGUCGUUUGCUCCCCAAAGACACAGGCACUUCACCUUGAGCAAGUUAUUUGCUGGGAAGGGACAUAGGACCAAUCUGUCUCAGGAUGGAGGCAGAACACUCCAAAUGCCCCUUCAUCUCUUCCCUGUGGCGGGGUGGUCAAUGGCCCUUCUGAAACCUGAACCCAGAAGACGUGUGCCUUCUUUCCCAUCUCUGUGACCUCCUGGGAGCCUUCCCCAUCAGCCUUGCUGAGGGAUCCGGAGGGACCCUCUCUGUCUCCCUCCCCAAGCUGUGCAGAGCUGGACGUGAUCUGCAGUGAGUUCCCUUACCCGGGCUAUUGUCUACAACACAGCCACUCUGCCCUCAUUCCUGGUGGGCUGACAAAGCAGCAGAAGAGAGACAGUUAGGAUUCUGGUCAUAAAGGCCUGGCAUCUGACUGACUUAAGCAGAGGGCAUGCUUUCUAAUAUUGCCAAGCAGAGAGACGCUCACCCGCUUCUCCAGCGUGAAUGCAAUGAAACAACUCAAACACCUAAUAGGAGAGUUGAAAGUGAGGCAUCAGUCAAUAGGAGAAUGCUGUGGCAUCCCCUUUUAGAUUAAGAAGCAACCAGGUUGGCAUUCCCAUCCUGGUGCAGAGGAAAUGAAUCUGACUAGGAACCACCAGGUUGUGGGUUCGAUCCCUAGCCUUGCUCAGUGGGUUAAGGAUCCGGUGUUGCCGUGAGCUGUGGUGUAGGUUGCAGAGGAGGCUCUGAUCCUGCGUUGCCACGCCUGUGGUGUAGACCAGAGGCUGCAGCUCUGAUUCCACCCCUAGCCUGGGAACCUCUAUAUGCUGAAAGUGUGGCCCCGAAAAAAGCAAAAGAAAAGAAAAGCUGACUGUUAUGUGAGAAUGGGAGCCACCAAAGGUUUCUGAGCAGAAUGACAGGCAAAGGGAGUGCUCUUGGAAAACUUAUAUGGGUGGGACUAUAAGUGGGCGGCAGAGAAAGACAAGUAGAAUAUUUCCAUGGAAGGUCUAGGGGCAGGCAAUAUGGUAUACAGAUCACGUUUGGGAUCAGAAGGAACGGGGCUCAAAUCUGUGCUGAGCUACUUCCUAUGUCACCUCAGUGAACCCCGAGGUUCUCUAUCUGCAAAACGGGAUCCCAAGCGUGCCUAUCUCACCAGACCGUAAUGGUGAAAUGGAAUCACAGAGAAAAGAGCCUGGCAAACAUAGAAACCAGCCCCCUGUUAUCGCUCAGCAUCAUCACUGCUCUUGAGAGUUAGAACAUAAGGUCUUAGACAGAUGGCGGCAACUGGAAUGCAAAGGUGGAUGCAUGUGAGAGGACAUGGAAGAAUGAACAAGACUUCUUUCUUCGGGCUGAACAGGGACCAGGAGCUCAGAGGUGGCGGUGGAAAUGCUAGACUUUGGAGGGAGAGCAUGAAGAAAAGAGCAGGGCACACCCCUGGGCCUUUGCCAUGUGUACAGGCGACAAGAAAGGCAGCUUCAAAGGAGCAGAGAAGGGGUGGGGUGACACGAUCACAAAAGCUAGGGGAAGAGAGGCAGAAGGGCAAGUUAGUGCUGUAUAAAUAUGUUUAGUUAGCUAUAAAUAUCAUUAAAAUGUAUUAUACCCCCCUAAACACACUGGAAGAAUAUAUUCCACAAUGUAGCUAUUGCUAGGCGGUGAGAAUUUUAGGGGAUUUUCAGUGUUUUUAAGGCACUCCUGCAGUAAGGUUUGAUUUAUUUAUUUUUUGCUCUUAACAGCUAAUACGUGAACAGCACAUACACUUGCCCAGCAUUGUUCUGAGAGCUUUAUAGAUAUUAACUUACUUCAUCCUCAAAACAACACUGUGAGGUUACUACUGUUUUUCCCAGGUUGGGAUUAAAGGAACCGAGGGAGGCAGACGCGCGGAGCACAUGCAGCCAAGGUCAGAGCGAAGGUGAGCGGAGGAGCCAGCGUUGCAAUGCUGAUCCGGCAGCCUGGCUCCAGGGUCUGUGCGCUCAACCACAUGUGAUACUUUUAUGACUAAAAAAAAAAUCCCAGUAAUUGCUAUUCACAAAACCAGGAGGUGGGGCAGUUAUUCGUCACUUUACAGGGGGUAAAGGAAGGAGAGAGCAAACAAAGCUUGUGGGACUCAGUGACGGGGAGUUCCCGGGGGGCCCUGAGCGAGGGGUUUCCACUGGGAAGGGAAGGGAGGUGGGAGUGUAAGGGACCAAGAGAGAACUACUAAUUCAGGAACGUGGGUGGUGAGUGCAGGGGACUAUUUCGAGACAUGUGGCCGUGUGGUGAAGACAAGGAGCUGGAUGGGAACUUUUAGGGGCAGGAGGAUUGUUUGAAGAGACGGUUGGCAGCCCAUAUACUCAAACUGGAACGAUACAGAGAAGAUUAGCAUGGCCCCCUGCGCAGGCAUGACAUGCAAAUUCAUGAUGCGUUCCAUACUUUUA
RNAcentral lists this long non-coding RNA (2956 nucleotides) under Sus scrofa (pig). The record is from RNAcentral. Lineage: Eukaryota; Metazoa; Chordata; Mammalia; Artiodactyla; Suidae.